AAUCAACGCUGGCGGCGUGCCUCAGACAUGCAAGUCGAACGCGAAAGGCCCCUUCGGGGGCCCGGUAGAGUGGCGCACGGGUGAGUAACACGUAGGUAAUUUGCCUUCGGGUGGGGGAAGUAACAGCCGGAAACGGGACUGCUAAUACCGCAUAAUGCAGCGGCUCGACAUCGAGACAGUUGUUAAAGCGGGGGAGUCGCAAGACCUCGCGCCUGAAGAGAAGCCUGCGGCAGAUAGUCUUGUUGGUGAGGUAAUAGCUCACCAAGGCGACGAUCUGUAACCGGCCUGAGAGGGCGGUCGGUCACACUGACACUGACAUACGGGUCAGACUCC
RNAcentral lists this ribosomal RNA (333 nucleotides) under uncultured bacterium. Its description in RNAcentral is "bacterial SSU rRNA". It matches the Rfam family "Bacterial small subunit ribosomal RNA", at positions 32 to 339 of the family's 1533-position model. The record is from RNAcentral.